UCGAACGGUAGCAGGAAAGUACUUGUACUUUUGCUGACGAGUGGCGGACGGGUGAGUAAUGCUUGGGAAUCUGGCUUAUGGAGGGGGAUAACUACUGGAAACGGUAGCUAAUACCGCGUAAUAUCGGAAGAUUAAAGGGUGGGACCAUUUGGCCACCUGCCAUAAGAUGAGCCCAAGUGGGAUUAGGUAGUUGGUGGGGUAAGGGCCUACCAAGCCUUCGAUCUCUAGCUGGUCUGAGAGGAUGACCAGCCACACUGGAACUGAGACACGGUCCAGACUCCUACGGGAGGCAGCAGUGGGGAAUAUUGCACAAUGGGGGGAACCCUGAUGCAGCCAUGCCGCGUGAAUGAAGAAGGCCUUCGGGUUGUAAAGUUCUUUCGGUGAUGAGGAAGGCGGUUAGUUUAAUAGACUAAUUGAUUGACGUUAGUCACAGAA
Molecule: ribosomal RNA, 435 nt
Filed under: Actinobacillus capsulatus
Lineage: Bacteria; Pseudomonadati; Pseudomonadota; Gammaproteobacteria; Pasteurellales; Pasteurellaceae
Description: bacterial SSU rRNA
Rfam family: Bacterial small subunit ribosomal RNA
Source: RNAcentral